Episyrphus balteatus (marmalade hoverfly) is the source of this 754-nucleotide long non-coding RNA. RefSeq lists it as uncharacterized. The record is from RefSeq and is a predicted model, not a curated record. NCBI's taxonomy places the organism in Eukaryota, Metazoa, Arthropoda, Insecta, Diptera, Syrphidae. The transcript is spliced from 3 exons.
GCAUAAGGUUGAGAUAUUUUUAUAUAAGUUUUGUACCAAAUAGAAACCUAACGAAUAGUUUCAAAGAAAUUAGUGAUUUAAUUUUGACCGACACUGAAUAUCACAUGAAACAAAAACUCUCAUUAUACGCUUCUACUCUACGGCUUUUAAAUUAUUUAUGUGAAUAUUUGUUGAACUUUCAAACUAUAGCAUGUAGCAAUCAAUUUGACAAUUCAAAAACUAUUUCGAAAAAAUAAGGGCUUCAACAUGGCUAAACUGGAAUUUAUACAGGGCGCUAUAAAUUUUACGCUACCUUUGGUUUGUUUUAUUUUCGAAAUAAUUGCCCUAAUGGAAGUCAAAAACCAGCAUAAUAGUAUUUGCAUUCAGGCUCGGGAAAUUGCUCGGGAAGCAAACAUUUUUCUAUCAUUCAUAAGCAUGCUAAUAAUUCCUGAUUUAAUAUUGAGCCUGCUAGCGAUUGUAGAUUUUAAAAAUAUUGUUCGCCUUUUUGGACCAUUGUAUCAAAUUUUUUCUGUUGUUAUAUGUUUUGGUUCGUCACUGUUUUUAUUAAGUGGUAUAACAAAUUGUGGAAAUGCAGCUCAAGACCAUUUUUAUUCUGCUGUGAUCAUGACAAUUAUUGCUGGAAUUAUUCACUUCAUCUAUAUGGUUUUAGUUUUAAUGCAAAUGCCAAAAAAUAUAAAGUGGUCUAUAUCAUCAACAUUUAAUCAAAAUACUUAAAUAAAAUGUAUAUUCUACACAUACACAAUUAAUUUUUCAU